CCGCUCUAAUUUUAUUCAACUCGUCCAUUUUAUUUUGCUGCAGAUUUUCCUCUUUCCUUUUAUUGAGAAUUUUUAUGUGAUUUUCUUCAAUAACAAUUUUCUGUUUUCUAUAAUUUUUAAUCAUUUUAGGAGCAUUUUCCCGAGCUAUUUUGAAAACUUCUGUCUUUUUAUCAGGAUUUAAACUGUACAACCAUUGUAAAGUUUUAUUGUUAGUAAAUAAAAUCAUUC
This 228-nucleotide long non-coding RNA is filed under the name Mytilus galloprovincialis (Mediterranean mussel). Lineage: Eukaryota; Metazoa; Mollusca; Bivalvia; Mytilida; Mytilidae. The record is from RNAcentral.